GACGAACGCUGGCGGCGUGCUUAACACAUGCAAGUCGAGCGGAAAGGCCCUUUCGGGGGUACUCGAGCGGCGAACGGGUGAGUAACACGUGAGUAAUCUGCCCCUGGCUUUGGGAUAGCCACCGGAAACGGUGAUUAAUACCGGAUACGACCACUUCUCGCAUGGGAUGGUGGUGGAAAGUUUUUCGGCCAGGGAUGUGCUCGCGGCCUAUCAGCUUGAUGGUGAGGUAAUGGCUCACCACGGCUUCGACGGGUAGCCGGCCUGAGAGGGUGACCGGUCACACUGGGACUGAGACACGGCCCAGACUCCUACGGGAGGCAGCAGUGGGGAAUAUUGGACAAUGGGCGGAAGCCUGAUCCAGCAACGCCGCGUGAGGGAUGACGGCCUUCGGGUUGUAAACCUCUUUCAGCAGGGACGAAGCGCAAGUGACGGUACCUGCAGAAGAAGCACCGGCCAACUACGUGCCAGCAGCCGCCGCCG
RNAcentral lists this ribosomal RNA (480 nucleotides) under uncultured bacterium. Its description in RNAcentral is "partial 16S ribosomal RNA". It matches the Rfam family "Bacterial small subunit ribosomal RNA", at positions 28 to 523 of the family's 1533-position model. The record is from RNAcentral.